GCGGUUGUGGCGAAGUGGUUAACGCAUCGGAUUUUGGUUCCGACACUCGAGGGUUCGAUUCCCUUCAACCGCCCCA
This 76-nucleotide transfer RNA is filed under the name Staphylococcus aureus. RNAcentral describes it as "tRNA-Gln". It matches the Rfam family "tRNA". Rfam says of the family: Transfer RNA (tRNA) molecules are approximately 80 nucleotides in length. The record is from RNAcentral. Lineage: Bacteria; Bacillati; Bacillota; Bacilli; Caryophanales; Staphylococcaceae.